This 807-nucleotide ribosomal RNA is filed under the name uncultured bacterium. RNAcentral's name for it is "bacterial SSU rRNA". It matches the Rfam family "Bacterial small subunit ribosomal RNA", at positions 8 to 796 of the family's 1533-position model. The record is from RNAcentral.
AGAGUUUGAUCAUGGCUCAGAGCGAACGUUAGCGGCGNNNCUAACACAUGCAAGUCGCACGAGAAAGGGCUUCGGCCCCGGUAAAGUGGCGCACGGGUGAGUAACACGUGGGUAACCUUCCCCAGAGUGGUGGAUAACCUGCCGAAAGGCGGGCUAAUACAGCAUACGACCGGCUGUCUUCGGACGGUUGGUGAAAGCAGGCCUCUGUACACAAGCUUGCGCUCGAGGAUGGGCCCGCGUCCCAUCAGCUAGUUGGUGAGGUAACGGCUCACCAAGGCUACGACGGGUAGCUGGUCUGAGAGGAUGGCCAGCCACACUGGAACUGAGACACGGUCCAGACUCCUACGGGAGGCAGCAGUGGGGAAUCUUGCGCAAUGGACGAAAGUCUGACGCAGCGACGCCGCGUGGGCGACGAAGGCCUUCGGGUUGUAAAGCCCUGUGGGGCGGGACGAACACUUUCUGGUCAAAUAGGCCAGGGAGCUGACGGUACCGCCUUAGCAAGCACCGGCUAACUCUGUGCCAGCAGCCGCGGUAAGACAGAGGGUGCAAACGUUGCUCGGAAUUACUGGGCGUAAAGCGCGUGUAGGCGGUUCCGCAAGUCAGGUGUGAAAGCCCAGGGCUCAACCCUGGAAGUGCACUUGAUACUACGGAGCUUGAGUACUGAAGAGGAGAGCGGAAUUCCCGGUGUAGAGGUGAAAUUCGUAGAUAUCGGGAGGAACACCAGUGGCGAAGGCGGCUCUCUGGGCAGAUACUGACGCGAGACGCGAAAGCAUGGGGAGCAAACAGGAUUAGAUACCCUAGUAGUCC